Molecule: ribosomal RNA, 253 nt
Filed under: uncultured bacterium
Lineage: Bacteria
Description: partial 16S ribosomal RNA
Rfam family: Bacterial small subunit ribosomal RNA
Source: RNAcentral
UACAGAGGGUGCAAGCGUUGUCCGGAAUCAUUGGGCGUAAAGCGCGUGUAGGCGGCCCGGUAAGUCCGCUGUGAAAGUCGGGGGCUCAACCCUCGAAUGCCGGUGGAUACUGUCGGGCUAGAGUGCGGGAGAGGCGAGUGGAAUUCCUGGUGUAGCGGUGAAAUGCGCAGAUAUCAGGAGGAACACCAAUUGCGAAGGCAGCUCGCUGGAACGUAACUGACGCUGAGACGCGAAAGCGUGGGGAGCAAACAGG